GAAACAAAGCAGAAUAAAAAAAAUGAUGUUGGAUCUCUUACAGAAUACUCAAAACAAAACAAAAAAAACAGUCAUACCCAUCAUUGUUUUCUAUUACAGGGUGAGAGAAAGUAUCCUGUUGCCUAGAGGAGAAAUGCUUUUCCCACUAAAGUAGGAGGAAAUUAUCUGUGUUCAUGGAUACUUUUGGAGAGUACAACUAAUGGUUGCUGCAUGGGGAAAAGGGUGGGAGAUGGGCAAAAAUGGCUGAAAGGGAGUGGGAGAUA
Long non-coding RNA from Panthera uncia (snow leopard), 263 nucleotides. RefSeq lists it as uncharacterized. The transcript has 2 exons. The record is from RefSeq and is a predicted model, not a curated record. NCBI's taxonomy places the organism in Eukaryota, Metazoa, Chordata, Mammalia, Carnivora, Felidae.